This 499-nucleotide ribosomal RNA is filed under the name Lestes macrostigma. RNAcentral describes it as "partial 12S ribosomal RNA". Lineage: Eukaryota; Metazoa; Arthropoda; Insecta; Odonata; Lestidae. The record is from RNAcentral.
GUAAAAGAAACCAUUAUUGGCUUUUUAGUUAAUUUUUAAUUAUUUCAAUUUUUUUAGUUUUUAGGUGGAAUUUAUAACUACAAUUAUAAUAUUAUUUAUUAUUAUGAUACUAUGAAACUUAUGAUAAAAACAAGGAUUAGAUACCCUUUUAUUUUAAGUGUUAAUUUUUGCCUGGGUAGUAAUAGUUAUGUUCUUGAAACCCAAAGGAUUUGGCGGUAUUUUAGUCUUUUCAGAGGAACCUGCUCCUUAAUUYGACAUUCCMCGAUUCAAUUUACUUUUGUUUGUAAUAUCAGUUUGUAUAUCUCCGUCAUAAGAGAAUCUUUUUAGAGUAAAUWUUCUUUUCCUUUWAAUGAGAAUAUGUCAGGUCAAGGUGCAAUUUAUGCAAAAGUGGAGGUGGGKUACAAUAUAUGUAUAUACACGGAUUAAUAAUUUUAUAUUAUUAUUAAGGUGGAUUUGGUAGUAAAAUUAAUUGUKAAUUAGAUGAUNGGGCUCCAAAGGG